AUGGAGCAAGCACCUCCCCUGAGCUUGGGUGAGAGCAGCUCUCAGGCUUCACCUGCCUUGUGCCUGUCCUGCAGGCUUCAGCUGGGGGGGGGGGGGGGGGGGCUUUGCCAAACAAGUCGAGGCCAUAAGCGAAUGAGGGACUGCAGUGCUCACUUGGGCUCCUCAUGUCCCUCACAGUGCUGGAGGCAGCUCUGCACUGACCGAGCUCUGCACUGGCCACUGGCAGGGGGACCGUGGCCCAGCCUGGUGCACCAGCAGGGCAGCUGGCUGUGGGGGCUGACCACUGCUCUGGUCCCUGCUGUGGCAUGGGGAAGGCAUUGCCCAGCUUCCCAUUAACACCAUGUCUGCUAAUAUGCCAUCUGUAUGACUCAUUUUGCCCGCUGUUUGUAAAUAUUGAUCAGGUUUUAAAAGUAAUGUGCUUGUUUGUUUGUUUGACAGAAGACCCAGACCAAUAAAUCUACAGACCUCUCUAGCCA
This 476-nucleotide long non-coding RNA is filed under the name Anas platyrhynchos platyrhynchos (common mallard). RNAcentral's name for it is "lncRNA (ENSAPLG00000020911.1)". Lineage: Eukaryota; Metazoa; Chordata; Aves; Anseriformes; Anatidae. The record is from RNAcentral.